GGCCAUGUCUCGGCGAAACUCCGUUUCCCGGACGAUUACUGAAGUUAAGCAACGUCGAGCUUGGUCAGUAGCUAGAUGGGUGACCGCUUGGGAAUACCAGGUACUGCAGG
RNAcentral lists this ribosomal RNA (110 nucleotides) under Acanthosepion pharaonis. Lineage: Eukaryota; Metazoa; Mollusca; Cephalopoda; Sepiida; Sepiidae. The record is from RNAcentral.